AGAGCCCUAAGUUGUACGUGAAGUACCGACAGUUUUGAGCCAACACCUUUUUUACGGGAGUUCGGGUUCUUUGGUGGAUAAGAAGCCAUGAUUUAUCUUGGACCUAUGAAAUCAAAGACAGGACACCCACCUGCGAGAGCAGGUUCAAAACCUAGGAAACACGGCAUACCCGGGGCUCUU
This 180-nucleotide non-coding RNA is filed under the name Tepidibacillus decaturensis. RNAcentral describes it as "6S / SsrS RNA". It matches the Rfam family "6S / SsrS RNA". Rfam says of the family: E. coli 6S RNA was the first non coding RNA to be sequenced, but its function was unknown until recently. It consists of 184 nucleotides that fold into an extended hairpin structure with a large single-stranded internal bulge. The 6S RNA specifically associates with RNA polymerase holoenzyme containing the sigma70 specificity factor. The record is from Rfam by way of RNAcentral. RNAcentral also lists the same sequence under 3 other names. Lineage: Bacteria; Bacillati; Bacillota; Bacilli; Caryophanales; Bacillaceae.